AGACCCGUAGCUCAGUUGGUUAGAGCGCUGCCUUGACAUGGCAGAGGUCAGCAGUUCAAAUCUGCUCGGGUCUACCA
This 77-nucleotide transfer RNA is filed under the name Microbulbifer hydrolyticus. RNAcentral's name for it is "tRNA-Val". It matches the Rfam family "tRNA". From Rfam's summary of the family: Transfer RNA (tRNA) molecules are approximately 80 nucleotides in length. Their secondary structure includes four short double-helical elements and three loops (D, anti-codon, and T loops). Further hydrogen bonds mediate the characteristic L-shaped molecular structure. tRNAs have two regions of fundamental functional importance: the anti-codon, which is responsible for specific mRNA codon recognition, and the 3' end, to which the tRNAs corresponding amino acid is attached (by aminoacyl-tRNA synthetases). tRNAs cope with the degeneracy of the genetic code in two manners: having more than one tRNA (with a specific anti-codon) for a particular amino acid; and 'wobble' base-pairing, i.e. permitting non-standard base-pairing at the 3rd anti-codon position. Lineage: Bacteria; Pseudomonadati; Pseudomonadota; Gammaproteobacteria; Cellvibrionales; Microbulbiferaceae. RNAcentral also lists the same sequence under 9 other names. The record is from RNAcentral.